This 253-nucleotide ribosomal RNA is filed under the name uncultured bacterium. RNAcentral's name for it is "partial 16S ribosomal RNA". It matches the Rfam family "Bacterial small subunit ribosomal RNA", at positions 524 to 776 of the family's 1533-position model. The record is from RNAcentral.
UACGUAGGGACCGAGCGUUGUCCGGAUUCAUUGGGCGUAAAGAGCUCGUAGGCGGCCACUCAAGUCGAAUGUGAAACCUCGAGGCUUAACCUCGAGCCUGCAUUCGAUACUGGGCGGCUAGAGUCUGGUAGGGGGAUCUGGAAUUCCUGGUGUAGCGGUGGAAUGCGCAGAUAUCAGGAGGAACACCGGUGGCGAAGGCGGGAUCCUGGGCCAGUACUGACGCUGAGGGGCGAAAGCGUGGGGAGCAAACAGG